AACUAUAACAACUCGCCUGUUCCAACCCAAGAAACUGUACCGUGAGUGCUAUUUAUUUAUUUAACGGAUAAAUUAAUUCAUUUCAAUUAUUUGGCAUAACUCGCUGAACUCUUUACAGUGAUGGUCACUACAUCAGUCGGUUAAUUCAUGCUUUUGCUCACAAAAGUUAAGUAGCGAAAGCUAACGAUUCGGAUUUAUGCAGCAGGUCUAAAAGAACGAUUUCUUAAAUAAUACCAAUUUACUGUAUGUGGGGCAGAACCCAUGACGGAUAAUAAAGUUCGGAUGGAAGGCCACGACACCAAAAUGCACCCGUUUGAUGGAGACACGCUGGUGGACCAAAUGCAGGAGGACAUGGAGGUUCCUCAAAACUCAGGACAAGUAAUGUGUCACUCGGAGGUGGAGGCGCUGUCUGUGUUGGCUGACGUUGCAUUGGCGCCAUCGUGUGGUGAUGAGGCGUGUUUGGAUGAUGUGGUCAAGAUGGAACAGUGCCUCAAGUCACUCCAGAUGCAGCACCAGUUCCUGAUGAACAUAGCAGAUUUCUUACAAAACCAAGUGAUGAAUGGUGUGGGUGAGCAUUUUGCUUCAACAGUGCAAAAUUUCCUGUACACCUGUCAGCCUUACCUUAACUACUUGGAAUCCACAGCUCGGACCUCUUCCCACCAGUGCAUCCCUCCCCUGUUUGACUUCUGUUCAAAGCUGUAGAAUUGUCUCAGCAGAUGUCUGACAAGUUGGAUCAGCUGGUGUUGACGUACGCCAACUGGGACUUUCUCUCUGUGGACAUCACCCAGCACAACAGCAUAUCUCCCCUUUCCCAUUGGCCAGUUUCACUUCAGAGGAAUGCAGGUGACUGUGUUACGCUUCUGUAAACCGGCACCGUACACGGACCUGGCCAACAUCAGUCCUGUACAAACGCAUAUUGUGGAAAGUGGAGACACUCAAAGACAAGCAGCAGAAGGAGGCAGAAAACUGACUUAAGCACAGACUAUUACUUCUUGUGCUAUGAGGACCUUCCGGUACCCACUGAGGAUAAAGAGGGACAACCAGUCUAGUGCUCAGAGUGAAGUGAUCAGGUUGUGGACUAUCAGUCAGUGGGUUCAGAUCAAACCUGACCCCCCACACAGGGACCAUCUUCGAGUGGAUCUUGGUGUAAAAUUCCUCAGGGUAAAUAUCUUAGGAUGAUGUUUUUGGGCCUUGAAGAACCAUCCAGCUGCAAAGCUACAACUACCUGCUGCAGCUGCUGUCAUCUCAGCAGUGACAUAAACCACCCCUCC
Molecule: long non-coding RNA, 1271 nt
Organism: Thalassophryne amazonica
Lineage: Eukaryota; Metazoa; Chordata; Actinopteri; Batrachoidiformes; Batrachoididae
Exons: 7
Source: RefSeq, a predicted model, not a curated record